This 253-nucleotide ribosomal RNA is filed under the name uncultured bacterium. Its description in RNAcentral is "partial 16S ribosomal RNA". It matches the Rfam family "Bacterial small subunit ribosomal RNA", at positions 524 to 776 of the family's 1533-position model. The record is from RNAcentral.
UACGGGGGGGGCAAGCGUCGUUCGGAAUUACUGGGCGUAAAGGGCUCGUAGGCGGCCAACUAAGUCAGACGUGAAAUCCCCAGGCUCAACCUGGGAACUGCGUCUGAUACUGGAUGGCUUGAAUCCGGGAGAGGGAUGCAGAAUUCCAGGUGUAGCGGUGAAAUGCGUAGAUAUCUGGAGGAAUACCGGUGGCGAAGGCGGCAUCCUGGACCGGCAUUGACGCUGAGGAGCGAAAGCUAGGGGAGCAAACGGG